This 313-nucleotide long non-coding RNA is filed under the name Gallus gallus (chicken). Lineage: Eukaryota; Metazoa; Chordata; Aves; Galliformes; Phasianidae. The record is from RNAcentral.
GCUUCUCUCUCUCAAAUUCUUUACUCUUUUCUUCAUAUUGCCUCCUGGAUUCUGCAAGCUGUUCCUCCAACUCUAAGAGUGCAUCCUUCAGGGUAUCUACUUGGUACAUGAAAUUUGUUUUUUCGUUGUCUAGUUGAGCAUUUGACACCAUAGCCUUUUUGUAUUUCUCUUCAACUUCAGCUAGAGAGUCCUUCAUUUCUUUCAGUCCCUGCAUGUAUUUGCCUUCUACAUCUUGAAUCUGCUCCUUUAACUCAUAGAUAUCCUUUAUUUCUCUAAUAGAUGCCUCUGUAUCUGCUGAGAUGGACGUAUCCCC